Molecule: non-coding RNA, 264 nt
Filed under: Lentilactobacillus curieae
Lineage: Bacteria; Bacillati; Bacillota; Bacilli; Lactobacillales; Lactobacillaceae
Description: Lactobacillus curieae T-box sequence
Rfam family: T-box leader
About the family: Uncharged tRNA acts as the effector for transcription antitermination of genes in the T-box leader family. T-boxes are found upstream of many aminoacyl-tRNA synthetase genes and some amino acid biosynthetic genes usually in Gram-positive bacteria. The anticodon of a specific tRNA base pairs to a specifier sequence within the T-box motif, and the NCCA acceptor tail of the tRNA base pairs to a conserved bulge in the T-box antiterminator hairpin.
Source: RNAcentral
CAUGAAGUUAUGAUUAGAAAAGUAGCUGUUUAGCAUCCAUAAAGAGAGCUCCGCUGGUGAGAAGGAGUUGGUUACGGCAGUGAACCACAUCUAUGAACUGGUAAUCUGAAUUAAGUAGGAUUACCCGCUAGCGAGCGUUACCACUGCUACCGUAACUGUUCUUUUGAUUAUAUUAUCAAGACGACUAGUUAUUGGCAGUGUGAGGUCACUUACCGUGAGGUGGUGACAAAACGAGGUGGAACCGCGAGUUAAUUCGUCCCCGGA